UGGUUCGCAUCUCCACACUUUCUCUGCUGUCUCUGUUCCCAUCCUCAGCCUGCCGGCCGAGGUCUCGUGGGCAGGGCCCCUUCCCUGCAAUGCCAGUCUGUACCCUCCAUCCAGCACCACCAGGAGCCCCUUCUCAAAUCUUCCCAUCGAUGAGGCUUCCAGCCCCUCCCAGUGGUGUGAACUUGCUUACACAAAAGAAGAGUCAACAAGGCAGAGUUUCGUUGUCUCUGGAGCUCUUAAAACCUGGGUUCAAGCUCAAGGCUCCCUCCACCGACUCUUUCUCUAAUGCUACCUGGGUAACCGGGGGGUUUCCAGCAUGCAGCCUGCCCCAAUGAAUGCUGCUUCCGAGCAGAUGGUGGAGGGGACUGGGAAAGACUCACUCUGACCCCUGAGUGUGUGAGUGUGUAGAGGGCAGCAGCUAAUGCUGUCCCAGCAGGGGAUAAAGCCAGAGGACACACAGACAGUGACAAUCCCACAAGGACCACCUUCUACAUUUAGAUUGCUCACGUGCACUUGGCUUUGCCUCUAGGAGACUCACACCCAGACCCAUUCUGAAUAAUCAGUGAUAGAUGUGGGCUUGCUCACUUCUGUCCCCAGAAGCCAAACACCAUUGAGAAGGGCAGCAAGAGGUCCAAGGCUCCGACCCACCAGUGGGUGUGGCGUGGCCAGGAAAUGCCUCAGGAUCCAAGCUGUUGCCACUGCCUGGGUCCUGGACACAGACGUGAGCUGCCGGGCUCCCAGGCACUGCACGGGAGACACACACGCAUACCUGUGCAUAGGAGACGAGCACACCACCGGGGAGGCCGAGGGGGGCCCGUCCUCCUCUGCCUAGCAGACCUCAUCCAAGGAGAGGUCUGACUGCUCUCCUUGAAGAAUUACAGGGCGACUCCGAGUGGAUGAAGACUCUGCUUAAUAUUUUUGGUAAUGAAAACACUUUGUAGGACAAGUGCUUUUUAAGACUCAGAGAUGGGGGAAUCUGAGUGGCAUUUUAAAUGGGCUGUUGGACAAGAUUCGCCACGGCCCUGGUAAAUGUCACACAUUUCACCAGCUGGGCGAAGAGGCAUGUUAGCUAUGUUUCUCCCAAACCUGAUUAAAAUGGAAAGUGCCUUUUGAAUAUUUGGUUCUGUUUUCUAUUAUGUCAGACAUGUGGGAGAGAAACAAAGAGAACAAGCGGGGAGA
Molecule: long non-coding RNA, 1179 nt
Filed under: Felis catus (domestic cat)
Lineage: Eukaryota; Metazoa; Chordata; Mammalia; Carnivora; Felidae
Description: lncRNA (ENSFCAG00000049541.1)
Source: RNAcentral